GGAAACAAGCCGUCUUGAGAGGAGGCAAGAUGGCAGCCCCGGCAGUGGCUGAGUUUCAAAGGGCCCAGUCUCUUCUCAGUUCAAACCGGAAUGCAUCUAUCGAUAUUUUACAUUCGAUAGUAAAGCGGGACAUCCAGGAGAGUGAUGAGGAGGCAGUGUUUGUCAAAGAGCAGAGCAUCCUGGAGCUGGGUGGUCUGCUGGCGAAGACGGGCCAGGCUGCAGAGCUGGACGGUCUCCUGAAGUAUGUGCGGCCGUUUCUGAAUUCCAUCAGCAAGGCCAAGGCGGCGCGGCUGGUGCGCUCGCUGUUGGACCUGUUUCUGGACAUGGAGGCAGCUACAGGCCAGGAGGAGGCGCUGUGUCUGGAGUGCAUCGAGUGGGCCAUGGCUGAGAAGAGAACAUUCCUCAGACAGGCCCUGGAGGUGAGGAGUGGAAGAGGGGACCCCACUGGAAGAGAGCUGAGCGGGAGCACUGACAUGAUGGGUUUGGCUCGUCUCAUCUCUCUGUAUUUUGACACAAAGCGGUAUCAAGAGGCGCUUCAUCUAGGCACCCAGCUACUCCAGGAACUGAAGAAAAUGGAUGACAAGGCCCUGCUGGUGGAGGUACAGCUGCUGGAGAGUAAGACGUACCACGGCCUCAGCAACCUGCCCAAGGCCCGAGCUGCCCUCACUUCUGCACGCACCACCGCCAACGGCAUUUACUGCCCACCCAAGCUACAGGCCGCCCUGGACAUGCAGUCAGGGAUCAUCCACGCAGCAGAGGAGAAGGACUGGAAGACUGCCUACUCUUACUUCUACGAGUCCUUCGAAGGCUAUGACUCCAUCGACCAUCCCAGAGCGAUCACUGCUCUCAAAUACAUGCUGCUCUGCAAAAUCAUGCUCAACCUUCCUGAGGAGGUCCAGGGUCUUGUUAGUGGAAAGCUAGCCCUGCGGCACGCCGGGAGACAGACAGACUCUCUGAAAUGCGUGGCGCAGGCCAGCAAUAACCGGUCGCUGGAUGAUUUUGAAAAGGCCCUGACAGAGUACAGAGGUGAGUUGAGAGACGAUUCCAUCAUAAACACACACUUGACCACGCUCUAUGACAACCUGCUUGAACAGAACCUCAUCCGUGUCAUCGAGCCUUUCUCCAGGGUACAGUAGUAGGCUUGAAAGAGAGCGACUCGGUUUGGGCUGAUCUGUGACCCGCUAGCACCUUCCCCGGUAAGAGGGGAAUGAGGCAACCUCAGUCACACACAAGGGAACUUUAUUGCUGUACACACUCACAGCAGACAGGGAAUAGAUGUUGGAAGAAUGUGGUUCUGUAAUACAGGAUAUAAGCAGUAAUGAAUAGGCUGUACACUAUUAGCACAGCAAGAGGACUGGUAAGGACUGUAUAAAUAUAAAGGACUGGAGUGGCAGCGUAGCCUAGUGGUUAGAGCGUUGGACUAGUAACCGGAAGGUUGCGAGUUCAAACCCCCGAGCUGACAAGGUACAAAUCUGUCGUUCUGCCCCUGAACAGGCAGUUAACCCACUGUUCCCAGGCCGUCAUUGAAAAUAAGAAUGUGUUCUUAACUGACUUGCCUGGUUAAAUAAAGGUAAAAUAUAUUUUUUUAAAUAGAUCAAGACUAUAUAAGCAAACAAUUAUCAUUAUCUACUACCAACAGUAAAUAGUAAACACACGUUACAACAAUAACAACUCAGUUCUGCACGCACUCCUUCCCACAAGUCCCCACAGAGGAGUGAACAGACACUGGCCUGUACAGUUAGAAGAGCUGUCAGGUGUCCUGCCCACUAACUAUGUACCCCUUAGCAACCCAGUUUGACACAUUGAGGCCAGUUUAUUGUACCACUAGGGUUAUGGGAAGUGGAGUGGGCAGCUUGAAAGGGUUGUGAGAUGCUGAUAGGUUACUGGCAGGGAAUUCAUAGCAAGGCUAUUUGUAAAAGGCUAGUAUUUGUUUAGCUUUGUUCAGCUUGGAUAUUUUGUCUAGUAAAGUUCUUUAAGGAUUUGUAAAGUAUAAAGUCAAAUUGCUGUGUAUAUAAAAGUAAUAUUUGUAGAAUUGUGUCUAGUAUUUGUUUUGCUUUGUUGAGCUUGUGUUCCAGACCACUGACAAGUGUUGUUCUGUCUCCCCACAGAUAGAACACAUUUCCACCCUCAUAAAACUCUCUAAAGGAGAUGUCGAGAGGAAAUUGUCACAGAUGAUUCUUGACACAAAAUUUCACGGUAUUUUGGACCAAGGCGAGGGUGUGCUGAUCAUCUUCGAUGAGCCUGCAGUAGACACAACG
RNA transcript from Oncorhynchus gorbuscha (pink salmon), 2258 nucleotides. It is a transcript of the gene named 26S proteasome non-ATPase regulatory subunit 11-like, with no coding region annotated. The transcript is spliced from 11 exons. Lineage: Eukaryota; Metazoa; Chordata; Actinopteri; Salmoniformes; Salmonidae. The record is from RefSeq and is a predicted model, not a curated record.